This is a long non-coding RNA of Callithrix jacchus (white-tufted-ear marmoset), 1933 nucleotides long. The record is from Ensembl. Lineage: Eukaryota; Metazoa; Chordata; Mammalia; Primates; Cebidae.
UUCCCCUGAGUGAAAUAUGGCAUGCAGUAACCAGAAGAGAAAAUUACAAUGACAUUCAUUAAAAUAAUUAAAACGGUCAAAAGAAGAUGCACUGCAACGGCGCGAUCUCGGCUCACCACAACCUCCACCUCCUGUGUUCAAGCAAUUCUCCUGCAUCAGCCUCCUGAGUAGCUGGGAUUACAGGCAUGCACCACCACACCCAGGUAAUUUUGUAUUUUUAGUAGAAAUUCAGUUUCUCCUUGUUGGUCAGGCUGGCCUUGAACUCUUGACCUCAGGUGAUCCACCCACCUCGGCCUCCCAAAGUGCUGGGAUCAGGGCAUGAGCCACGGUACCUGGGCUGCUUCCCUGUUUUUAUCCCGUCCCCUUAGCAAGGUCAACUGUGGAUAGUCCUCCCUCACUGGGAGCCAGGAGGGUACGCUGGCUGGAGGGGUCCUGUUGACAAAUCUCAUCCCUGUGAUGAAUUUUUUUUUUUCUAGGCCUCAGGACACCUGGAAUAGCAAGGACAGUUUUAAAUACCCUCUGUCCUUCAGACCACAUUGGAGCAUCCUGACAGGGUCUGGGAGCUGGGAAACAGGCCCUGAGCUGACCGAUCUGGAGAUGCCCACGUGCUCCUGCACAGCCUAUGCAGCUGUGCCCCUUGGGCUGUUAGUGAGAAAACUUACUUUUACAUUUAAUCUUGGUUUUCUUUCCUUAAAUCAAAGAGUGCUGAGGGAUAAAGCGGCGAAGCAUGAUCAGAGAGGGACGAGUUUAAUUAAUGUGUGCAAGGUAUAGAGUACAUACAUUAUAUAUGCACAAGUUAAAGAAUAAUAGCAAAAUGAACAAUGUUUACAACUCUAAACAACUUAACAAAAAGAAUAUUAUCAAUACCUUAAAGCUGUCCCUGAUCACAUCCCUGCCUCCAUCCCCUCAAAGGUAACUACUAUCUUGAAUGUUGUAUUAAACUAACUUUUAUUUAUUUAUUUUUGCUUAGGUAUGCAAUCCUAAAAUAAUAUAUUAAUUUUAACAUCUUUAGACCUUUGUCAAAUAAAACAAUUUUAGGCUUACUUGUUUCACUCAAUAUGUUUCUAAAAUUCAACCAGAUAAACAUGUAUCUGUUCAUCCAUAUUCUAUUUUAAAUGGUACUUCAUUAAAUGAAUAUUCAAAAAAUAUCUACUAUUUGCGGACAUGAGAGCUAUUUCCAGUUUUUCUGUUUGCUUGUUGAUUUCACUAGUACAAAUAGUAUUUCUGUGAGCAUAUUUGAAUAUAUCUUUGGUGCACAUAUGCAAAAGUCUUUCUAAGAUACAUAUCUUAAAGCAGUAUUGCUGAGUUGAAAACUGUAUGAAUUUUCAACUUUACUAAAUAACACUAAAUUGUUUUCUGAAGUACUUGCACCAAUUUACUGUUCGGUCAAAAGUGUUUAAGUGUUUCUGUUGCUCUACAUCUUCACCGAUAUUUGGUUUUGUCAAACUAUAUAGAUUUGCCAGUCUGACAGAAAAACUGGCAACCAUGAAAGUCAUUUGUUUUCCCCAAAUAUUUCCAGUUAUCCCUGCUUCCAAGCACAUAGUGGAAGGAAUUGCACUUCCUAAAUCCAUGUGGUGAGUGCGUUUGUUGUGACUUGUACUGAAUUGUGAAGGAAUGUGUGCCAGUCCCUAGCUGGAGCAAUUAAUUGCUGAUACAGACACCUCCAUAGUUUCCUUCCCUCUGGCAAGGAGGUGACUGCUGUGUAACCCUGGGAACAUGAGUGAACCAUACUAAACAGAUGACUGACCUCAGUUCUCCAAUGACCUUAAAUGGACCCUUAAUGUGAGUGAGAAGUAAAAUUUUGUUGGGAUGAUUCUUGAGUGUUAGUGGCAACAGUAUUACCUAGCAUAUGAUGACAUACAGAGUAUCUCAUUGUGGUUUUAACUUGCUUUUUCCUGCUUACUAAUGAGACUGCACAUCUUUUUUAUGUUUU